AGCGAACGCUGGCGGCAGGCUUAACACAUGCAAGUCGAGCGGGCACUUCGGUGUCAGCGGCAGACGGGUGAGUAACACGUGGGAACGUACCCUUUGGUUCGGAAUAACGCUGGGAAACUAGCGCUAAUACCGGAUACGCCCUUUUGGGGAAAGGCUUGCUGCCGAAGGAUCGGCCCGCGUCUGAUUAGCUAGUUGGUGGGGUAAUGGCCUACCAAGGCGACGAUCAGUAGCUGGUCUGAGAGGAUGCUCAGCCACACUGGGACUGAGACACGGCCCAGACUCCUACGGGAGGCAGCAGUGGGGAAUAUUGGACAAUGGGCGCAAGCCUGAUCCAGCCAUGCCGCGUGAGUGAUGAAGGCCUUAGGGUUGUAAAGCUCUUUUGUCCGGGACGAUAAUGACGGUACCGGAAGAAUAAGCCCCGGCUAACUUCGUG
This 433-nucleotide ribosomal RNA is filed under the name uncultured bacterium. RNAcentral describes it as "partial 16S ribosomal RNA". It matches the Rfam family "Bacterial small subunit ribosomal RNA", at positions 29 to 507 of the family's 1533-position model. The record is from RNAcentral.